AUGGAUUCUUCAACUUGUUCCAUUUAUUUAUGCUUCAUGUUGCCACAUACUAACAAAGCAGUGGAACACAAGAUUUCAAACUACACUUUUUAUGAGCAAUUUCCAAAAAUGCAAUAUAAUGAUGAUAAAAUACAGAUCAGCUACAUGAAUCAACGGCUAAAACAAGUUUACACGAAGAACUGCAACAAUAGCAUGCACCCCUUUUGUCUUCAAAUCAAUUCAUCAACUGCCACUC
Non-coding RNA from Vicia faba (fava bean), 235 nucleotides. The record is from the annotation of a GenBank genome assembly. Lineage: Eukaryota; Viridiplantae; Streptophyta; Magnoliopsida; Fabales; Fabaceae.